RNAcentral lists this ribosomal RNA (250 nucleotides) under uncultured bacterium. RNAcentral describes it as "partial 16S ribosomal RNA". It matches the Rfam family "Bacterial small subunit ribosomal RNA", at positions 524 to 773 of the family's 1533-position model. The record is from RNAcentral.
UACGAAGGUCCCAAGCGUUAUCCGGAUUUAUUGGGUUUAAAGGGUGCGUAGGCGGGCUAUUAAGUCAGUGGUGAAAGCCCCAAGCUUAACUUGGGAACUGCCAUUGAUACUGAUGGUCUUGAGUACAUUUGAGGUGGGCGGAAUGUGUCAUGUAGCGGUGAAAUGCUUAGAUAUGACACAGAACACCGAUUGCGAAGGCAGCUCACUAAACUGUAACUGACGCUGAGGCACGAAAGCGUGGGGAGCAAAC